RNAcentral lists this long non-coding RNA (7191 nucleotides) under Triticum aestivum (bread wheat). RNAcentral's name for it is "long non-coding RNA (TAES_LNC006252)". The record is from RNAcentral. Lineage: Eukaryota; Viridiplantae; Streptophyta; Magnoliopsida; Poales; Poaceae.
UAAGAAUUAAACGAACAUCUACAUCAUACACAUAUCACUCAAAACUUAUAUACUAUAGUGUGGUAUUUAUUCCUAAUUUGCUUGUCAAAUCUAAUACAUGCAAUACAAGUGUACCUUACUAGUGAUGCAUCUAUACUACUAUUAAAAAAAUCAAACAUGACUUCCCCUAUGUGCACCCCAGAAAGUGCACACAGGAUAACCCCAAACGUUCGAUCAAACCCACAUAGUUGCAUCCAACGGUCCAUGUUACAUCCACCAUACUACAAACAGAUCUACGGUUCAAAACAAAUGUUCUGCCGGCAGACUCCCCCGUUCAGGAUUUGACAUAGCCCAGCGAUGACACCCCCCGGGAAUUAAAUAGAACCUCCGUGAUCAAAGCCGCCACCACGCCACGAUCCUCCACCAUCAACGCUGCCAUCACGCCACGAACCUUGCCUCGGCCAGCCGCCCUCGCCCCUGGUGUCCACGACAUCCUCGACCCACCUUGCUUCCCUACCUCCCCUCGCCCGCCGUCCCCACCACGCCGCUCUCACCCUGUCCACGACGUCCUCGACCCAGCGCGCUGCCCUACCUCCGGUGUCAUCACCCCAUGUGGGCAGCAACAUCUCGACCUGCCAGUACCACAUGUUAGAUCAAUUUAUACUGCACGUCUUAUGAUCUGACAGAAGACAAAGGAAAUUGCUCUUUGAAUCUGACAGUCUGAAAUUUGUACUGUGAAAUUUGAUACUUACAGUACAUCAUGAACAAACUGAGUUGAUGAAGGGUUGAAUAAGUGUUUCACAAAAAAACCAUUGAGAAGACAAUAUGGCAUCCUCUCAACGUAGUGGGGUACGUACUCCCUUUCAGGACCUGACAAACAACAACAACAGUUCAGGUAAAUACAUAUAUCACCUACUCUUACCUACUUAGAUCUUGUAGAUCCAGAAUAUGUCAUUGUGUCGCAGGUCAAAAAAUAAAUCCAAAAGAGCUGAAGAAACAGAGGGAAAGGGAGAGGUAUGCACUAAACAGGGAUGCAAUAUUAAAGAAAAGACAGGAGGCAAGGGAUCGUAAGAAAGCUACGGGUGCUAUUCUAAAUGGAAUCAACACUCCGUCUAAGCCACACAUGGCCAUGUCGCCUGGUUACUCCAUUUUCUCUGUUUUUCUCAUGCAUUUCAUUAAUCACAUGUAAAAUCAUGUUAAUUAAGUGUUCUUUUGGACAGGUUUUGACACUAUGGAGAGGCCUAGUACGCAGUCUACUGUCACCCAGCAACGACACACAUCAGCUACCGAAGGUCAUGCGUUCUCCUACAUCCAACCAUAAUACCGGCAUUAGUGUGUCAACAGCUGACAUUGUACAUACAAUUAUGAUGCAGGCAUACCUGUUGAUGUGAUAAUGAGUGAUCAGACUCCACUUGAUGGUCCAAAUUCAUUAAGAACACCAGAUACUGCUGUUUCUAACAAGGAAAAUGUCAAUAAUAUCGACUCUGCCAUUGGGUCCUCCCAACUGACUGUGUUACCACCGCUACAUAAAUCCUACAGAGGCAGCAGUUCAUAUGGUAAUCAAUUAUGGCUCAUAUUAACUACCAUACAGAGUAAAGACAUAUUAUAUCUCUCUUCUUCCUAUGCAAGGUUUCCUAUCUAAAUUGUCAUGCUUUGGUUUUCAGAAUGACAUCAACAAGGUAGCAAAGGAUGAGGAUAUACAUAAUAUGCAGGUUGAAGACGUGAUAAAGAAUAAAGAAAGGCAAGGAUACAGACACUGAGUCGGCAGAGGUGAUAGAAGAAGAAUCUACUACAGAGGAUACAGAGAAUAUGCAGAUUGAUGAGGUGAUAACCGUACAUGAGGAUACAUAUCCCGAGUCCACAAAGGCUACACAAGAGUCCAUUACGGAGUGUUGGGGAUAUUACUAUCAGUUAUGACCCGCCCAGGAGGGGCCGGGUCAGUCCCAAUGGCGGGUUACACAAGAAGCCCAGUAAACAUUCAAGAUUAUAGUUUAUUAAGUCUUAUAGAAGGCCCAAAGGCCUGAAGGCGGUUUAAGGCCUGAUAUUGUGAACCGCCGUAUGUAAGGAAAGACUUGUAAAGAAAGACAUGUAAAGGAAGUCACCGAGCUGGACACAAUUAUGAACCGGCCGGGACUCUGUAGGCCACCAGGCGUCAACCCAUGUAUAUAAGGGGACGACCUGGUGGCGACUUAGGGUGAGAAACAACAAGUCGAUAACCAAGACGGCGAGUUGAGCCUCUUGGUGAUCGAAACCCCAGCAAUAACAAUCCCAACUAGACGUAGGCUUUUACCUUCAUCGUAAGGGGCUGAACUAGUAUAAAACCCUCUCAUGUCCUUUGUCCCGACUAACCCCUUUAAGCUUCCUAGUGCGAUGGCCCUAGGACUAAGUCCUUGCUCUAGGACAUCUGCCGUGACAAUUCCACGACAGUUGGCGCCCACCGUGGGGCCAGCGCACGGUGGAUUUGAGUUCUUGAAGGGCAGCUUCGAAGGGCUCAAGGGAUACGCUAUGGGCCGGAUGACCAAGAGUCGUCGCGGCAAGCUCUACAUCAACGACAAAGGCUGGGGCCCCGAGGCCAGCUCAAUUGAGUACGGGUACCGGGUCCCCUUCGGCGAAAUUCACGUCUUCAUCGGCCGGAUCGGCGAGUCAGGUCCUGAGCCGGACGUCCACACCGACCUCAUCGAAACGGCUCGGCGCGUGAGGACUGCCUGUGUUCAAUCUGCCGUGAAGCAUGCUUUCGUAGGCUGCAUCCACGGCGGUGAAUACUCUGAAGGAUCGGUGGAGGGCGGUGAGACGGUCGUCUGUUCUGACAUUGCAUCAUCAACGGGCGAGACGGGCUCUUUGUACCAGCUAAAGGACGGCAUGCUCGGGGGCUGUUCCGAUGGCAGCAGUAUUCCGGACCCUCUUGAGCCGCCGAAUUGGGCCGGAGUCUUCAUGGCAGGGACACAGCCCAGGCAGAACUCCACAACAGCGGUGGCAACAGCUACUGGGUCGGCUGCAGCCGGGUUAGGAGACCCCGCGCGCCCCCCGGCUCAGAUCUUGAUGGACCUCAUGGAUAAACUGACGACUCUAUUGACUGCCAUGGUAGAGCCGGCGGAUAAAGCCCAGCAUGACGCAGAGGUGGUAUGCGUACGCGAAGAGAUGGUGCAAUCUAAGGAAAAUCUAGCCGCAGAGGAAGUCAGGAUGGCAGCAGAGCGGGCGGCUUUGGACGUUCGUGCUCAACAGCUUCAAGCGGAGACCUUCCGGCUCUCAGUGGAUCUGAACGCGUCGAACAAGGUCAUGAGGAGGAGGCAUCAGAAAACCCAAUCACGUCUGCCUCUGCGCUCGAUCCUAGGAAUCUUUUUCACACACCCGGAGCUGGAGGAAGUAACCCACCGAAGGCACCCCGGAUUACAACACCCGACGCACCGGUCCAGCCGCGUGCCAUGGAUCCACCUCGUAUAAUUACCGCUCCGCCUCAUUACAUCCCAACGCCACCGGGUCACUUCUCCAACCCUUUGGAAAACCUCGUCGCAGCAUCGGCUCGUCUGGCGGCUCUUCCGAUGGAAGGUGACUCGCCAGCGGCAAUUGAAACACGGAGGGUAAGAGAACUUCUUCAAACAGCUCUGGCGCAGCAGGAUGCAUACUCCUACAGUCGAGAUAGGAUCCAUUCAACUCCUCGCCCAAGCCGGAGCCCGAGUUACAGUAGGCAUAUGGAAUCCGCAGAUAUGUCAAGCAAUGCUCAACGCCACAACCGGCCAUACAGGCAUGAGUCGGUGCGGGCUGGAGCCCUUAACUUGGCGGAUCAGGAGAGGAUUCGUCAAGAGGUAGGGCGAGGAGUUCAAAUGGCAGCAGAUCAGGCGGCUCAUCAAACUUUUCCGGCUUAUCCAGCAUCCUCGGUCGAGGCAGGAGUGGCCACAAGAACCGGAGGCUUUCCUUGCUUGGUGCCGGCCAUACGUAAUGAGCGUUUGCCAAAGGACUUUAAGGGGCCUCGUAAGGUACCUAAUUACACGGCUGACUUACAGCCCGGGGCUUGGAUUGAGAGUUAUGAGAUGGCUAUGGAGUUAUUGGAGGUCAGCGAUGCAGCAAUGGCCAAGUAUUUCACUAUGAUGUUAGAUGGAACAACUCGUACUUGGUUGAAGGGAUUGCCACCCAAUUCUAUCGGCUCAUGGGCGGAGUUGAAGGCCCGGUUCAUCUAGAACUUUAAAGACACAUGUAAGAAGCCUAUGUCGAUUGUGGACCUGACCAAUUGCAAUCAAGAGGAUGGUGAAUCCACAACCCAUUGGGUACGCCGGGUCAAGGAGAUAAUACAUUCAUCUGAUAAGAUGGAUGCCGGCUUAGCAGUAUUAAUAUUGGAUAAAAAUUGCCGUUUCAAACCUCUGAAGCAGAAGCUGGGGUGGCUCAAGCGUGACUAUAAUAACAUGGGAACGUUAAUGGAGGCUCUCGUCAAGUAUGCUGAUUCUGAUACUACCAAGGACCCGGGGUCUGACGAAGAAAAGGCAACGAAGGGAAAGAAGAACGGCAACAGCAAGGGUCACCAGCAUAACCCGGCAAAUCAAGGAGGUAAUAAACGUAAGGCUGAUGAGUUUGUUGCUAACACCAAUGCACAGGGCGGAAAUCAACGGCGUAAGGGCGGACAGCCCCCUCGGUCGGGCGGCUCAGGUCCCACCCUUGAGCAAUUAUUGAAUGAGCCUUGUCCAAGACAUGACACCCGGGAGAAGCCAGCCACCCACCUGUGGAAAGAUUGUACGAUCAUGAAGGCGUUUAAAAAUUCAAACGCGUUUGAUGGAGGUCACGGCCCAGGUAGCGGCUCAGGUGGAGGCGGUUUCCAAGGCCCGGGCGCCGGCUUAGGUGGAGGAGGAUUCCACGGUCAGGGUCAUCCUGGUAACCAAGGAGGGUAUAAUCCGCAACCCAGUCAAGGUAAUCAGUAACAACAGUCCGGAUAUCAGAGCAAUCCGAAGCAGCUAAGUAGUGGGCAGUAUCAUGUGUUCACCAUCAGUUUAUGCAAAAGGGACCAAAAACUUCAUAAGAGAGCGGUCAAUGCUGUUGAGCCGGCGGUUCCACGUUACUUACGUUGGUCAGAGCAGCCUAUUGUGUGGAGCAGAGAGGAUCACCCACCCCGGAUCGAUAAUCCGGGUCACUUGGCGUAUAUGUGUGGAUUACACUGAUCUGAACAAGGCUUGUCCGGCUGAUCCUUUUGCCCUUCCCCGUAUUGAUCAGAUCAUUGAUGGUAUGGCGGGUUGUGCACGUUUGAGUUUUUUGAAUGAGUAUUCUGGUUAUCAUCAGAUCAAGAUGGCAGUCAAAGAUCAGGAGAAGAUGACUUUUAUCACUCCUUUUGGAGCUUUCUGCUAUGUGUCUAUGCCUUUUGGGCUGAAGAGUGCCCAAGCGACUUACCAACGGUGUGUGCAGAAUUGUCUUCAUAAUCAAAUUGGACGCCUCUUGUUGAUGCUAUGAUAACCAAGGACGGAGAUACAAUCCCCGAAUCGACAGAGGCAAGUUUUCUUUCCACAUGUCAUUGCUAUUCUAAUUCUAAUGCCACAGACCGGUUUGUAAUUUUUUAGUACAAUAUCAUAUCAAAAAUAUAUUCUCUCUGUUAUAAUAUUAUAAUACCAUGUGUUUCAGCUACCGAGCAAUGAUGAAUCAAGUGAAAUACUCAACUAUAAUGAAGUGGAGGAAAAUAAUUGCACAGAGAGCCCAGAAUAUACACCUAUUCUUGAAGAAAACAUAGCAAACAGAGAAGCCAAAGAUUCUGAACAUACACAGGUGACUUUCCUGUUCCAGCCAUUUCUUCCAAAACCAUUCUAAUUAUAUUAUAUCCUACAUACGGGUAAUUCUUUUAAUAUUGUUCUCAGAAAUUAACCCACAACGAAACAAGCCAAUGGUGGCAACUGAGGACAAGAAAUUGGCACAAACACCCGGCACGGAAGGGCUUCAAACAAUAGAGGAUGAGCUAACAAUGCCCGUGCAUAUAAAGAAACAUAUAUGACGGCAUAACAAGCCUAAGAAGGCACAAGACCAUGUUCUUUCUCCACAAGGCAUGGUUGCUACGGAGCAUCUACAAGUAAGGUCAGGUGGAAGUGUGUUCUUAGAGAAUGCAUGCAUCUCUACGAUGAUGAAGAUCGGUAACUAUCUGCCCUCAGAUGACAUGGAUUCUGCACCAGCAUGGGUAUUAAAUAGAGCCAAAGCGUAUUUGGAAAAUGAUAUGGUUAGUCUUAGUUUUCUACAAAUUUCUAUGAAUUACAGCGAGAACGACCGAUUCAUCCUAAAAUAAUCAUUUUCUUCAUAUAUACAUUCCAAUAAACAUGGACGACGUUCACUGGUACCUAUGUGUUAUAAAUGCCAGAAAACAAUAUGUUCAAGUGCUCGACUCGCUAGGCCCAUACAUGAGCCGCAAGGACCUCACUGAUAUGGUUAGUACUUAGUCCUACUGCCCCAUCUUUUCUAAGAAGCUUUUUUUUCUUAUUUCUCGCUUGUGAUGCUUAUACUUUUCUCAUUUGUUGGUACAACAUCUAGAAGGACUGGAGGAUUUAUUCAAAUAUGCAUCCAAGCACAUGGAAUUAAAAUCCAAUAAGUGAAUUGAUCUAGAUGUUACAACAUGGAAAAGAGAAGAAUAUAUUAAGAGCAGUCUUCAGACAGAUGGGUACGCCUCCUAAUAUAACUCAGAGCAUUUAUGCUUAACAGGGCACAUUUGGUAUGCUAUUAUGUUUAUUCUAUCACUGCAUAGCAUUCCUGAAGUACAUUUGAUCAAGAGAUUUGCUAUGCCAAUGUAAUUCUUUACCUUAUUGUAUGGCAAUGCAAUUGAAACAACACCUCUCAUGAGAUCUGACCUAAAUAAUGGAGCUCAAGGCGAUACAUUUCAUUGGGCUGCAUAUAAAAAAUGUGUUACGAUUUUCAAUCUUUUUAUGCACUCAUAUGCCUACUUAGUGUAAGCAGCCACGCAUUAACUUGUAGUAUCAACUAUGCUAGCAAUAUUACGGGAGAAGCAGAGCGUGUUCUGUUAUACCAUUAGGCAAUGAGCAUAGAGCAAGUGUUUCUUUCCACACCUGCACAAAUGUUAUUUGGGUAUAACUCCAGGCCUUAUUUUUUACUUCUCCAUUUGUACCAUCCUGCAAUUGGAAGAUGCAAUGUAAAAAUAUCAUUCUACACACUUAAAGAGAUCAAGAACAAGAACUGAAAUUGCUAUUAGCAUUACCUGUAAUAUAAAUAGUGGGAACUAUGAAGCAACCGCUUUGUGAU